Crotalus tigris (Tiger rattlesnake) is the source of this 1189-nucleotide long non-coding RNA. RefSeq lists it as uncharacterized. The transcript is spliced from 3 exons. The record is from RefSeq and is a predicted model, not a curated record. NCBI's taxonomy places the organism in Eukaryota, Metazoa, Chordata, Lepidosauria, Squamata, Viperidae.
UCACUGCUAUGAAAGGUCCUCGUUCCACCCCCUCUUCUCCCUCCCCCUCCCCAGUGCAGGAUCCCCUUGCUGUGUCAUUUCUGAGCCGGUCCUUGGGAAGGGAAGGGUUAGGUUGAAGGAAUCGACCAUCCAAGCGGAGCCCAAGCAAGCAUUACUGAUGGGCAAGCCAUGAACAGGGUUGGCAUUAGCAAAAAAACGAGCGGUUAAACACAGGAAGUGGGCUGUGGACCACAGUGACGUCACGCAGCUGGUGGUGCUAUUUUUAUUCCCCUGGGUCCUUUCAUAAUUGUGUUCAUCGUAUUGCUCAUCCAUAGCUGAAGUGACAUUGUGAAAAUGGACUAUCCCCAUUGUUACGUUGGCGCAGAGAUGGGAUGACAGCGCGGGAAGAACUUCUCCGUAGCCAAGGGGAAAAUACAAAAGUCACUGUGUAUUUAAGUCUGCCUUUCCCCCUAUAAGUAGAUAGAGCCGAAGCUUAGUUGGGCCCUAAACAUAUUAGUAUUUCAUUUAAGCUCGAUAAAUCUUACACAGAUGAGCUUGUGACAAAAUAAAAAUGUUAAUUUUUCAAUUACUAUAAAAUUCUUCCUUAUCAUUUGAAAGCUACUUUGGUAUCGUGGGGAAGGUGCUGGCCUAAAAACUAGGAGACGGUGAGUUCUAGUCCCGCCUUAGGCCUGAAAGCCAGUUGGGUAACUUUGGGCCAAUCACCAAGAGAUUCUGAGUUCUAGUCCCGCCAAAUAUUUUUUGAAAAGGGGGGGAAAUCUAAUAAUAAAUUAGUAUAAUUUAAAAUAAAGCACUAAUAAACUUAAUGGAUCCACACUCUCCAAAUAUAUUAAGCAUCUUAGGAAUUAAACCUUGAACUAGCAGAAUAUGUUAUAUUCUAGAAAGCUCUGAGGGAAAUCUACCAGCAAACAGUGACUAACACAGGAAGAGACCUUUCCUAUUCAUUUUACAAAGUCGAGAGUAAACAAGGUAGCUGAAAGACAAGAGAUCUGGCAUUCAGAUCACUAUAACAGAAAGAAAAACAACUGGGCCGCUAGAUCAUCUUGAAAAAGGAAGUUGAAGAGCAGAGCAACCGGAGGCCGGCUCCUCGGUGGGUUUUACAGACGGAAUAAAAGCCAGCCUUGCCUGACAGCAGAGCUCUUGAGUUUGGGAUGAGAAAUCAGGGCUGGUCAAUAGAAUUUGCAGACUCGUU